GUGACAAAGUCACAAAAGUGAUAAACUCUCCUUUCCACUUUCUAAUGUUUCUUGCUUAAAUGAGUAUUCCAUGUAAAAAUGAUUCACUCACUCGUAUGGGUGGGUUGGGUUUUCUCUUCAUGAGAUGCUCAUUUGAGCAAGCAAUGUUUGGAAGUGGGACUAUUUAAUAUCAUGUAUGAGUUUUAUCUUUU
Non-coding RNA from Arabidopsis thaliana (thale cress), 191 nucleotides. RefSeq annotates it as microRNA ath-MIR828 precursor. The record is from RefSeq. The transcript has a single exon. Lineage: Eukaryota; Viridiplantae; Streptophyta; Magnoliopsida; Brassicales; Brassicaceae.